RNAcentral lists this long non-coding RNA (994 nucleotides) under Scleropages formosus (Asian bonytongue). RNAcentral's name for it is "lncRNA (ENSSFOG00015027018.1)". The record is from RNAcentral. Lineage: Eukaryota; Metazoa; Chordata; Actinopteri; Osteoglossiformes; Osteoglossidae.
GUUACGGGAAGGUCUCGGCUUUCUUCCUGGGGGAAGAAGAAAAAUGGCAGAGAGUGUGAGGGUCUCAAAUUACUGCCACCGAGCAUCGAACUGGCAGCAUAUGUGCGAGUGAAGGAAUCUCGCUCGCUUAAUAAGCUCUUUUUCCGAUCCAGCGCUUUUGUAAAAUGUUUUCAUUGGGAAACGCAGCGAUGAGAGAAAGAGCGAGAGUGAGUGGUUCGCCGAGAGAGAAGGGGAAGGGGGGAAAAGAGGUGCGGACCGCCUGGCUCCAGUGCCGAAGAAUUCCUCUUCCAUCGUUCUCUCUCUCUCUCUGGAACUCUCUCUUUUCCUCUCUCUCUCUCUCUCUCUCUCUCUCUCUCUCUCUCUCAAUCCCACCCUUUCGUGCUGCAUGCCAUUCUGCUCUUUCCCUGCUUUCUUUCCUUUUGCUUUUUGGACCCUCGUGAGGGACAUCAGCGCACGCUUCCACCUCACACUGUGGAGCACACGAGAAGACCCAGACUCUCAACCCCAGCAUGGCCUGCCCUUCCGCCACAUUGCUUGGGCUAUUGCUCCUCAUCACUGGUCAGGCUAAAGCAGGACCUGAAAUUGACCUCCGGCCAGCGGAUGUCCAGUCCAGCGUUUGUCAGGGUCACAACGUUCUCCAUGACAAACUAGAUACCGUGGAGAAGCGUGUGGAAGACACCAUUCGGAAGCUCGAGGCGGAGAUGGCUCUUCUGCUCGAUGCAAUCGAAGGUCCCGAGUGGCGACCUGUUCUGCACCCCGACAGCCCCGCCAUCGAUAUCCUAGACGCCCAAGACAAGAGCUCGGUGUCUUGAGGGGAGAAGAAUGAAGUCCUGGCGUACCUGUCUUUCGCAUGUCAUUUCUCUUUACGCUCAAGUGCUUCACGUGUCUGAGUGCUUGAUGGAAAACUACAAACUACUGGAUGGGCACAUCUGGAAAAUUCUGCUCACAAACGUUUACGAUACAGAGAAAUAAACUUAAAGAACACUUUACGUCA